Spinacia oleracea (spinach) is the source of this 573-nucleotide long non-coding RNA. RefSeq lists it as uncharacterized. NCBI's taxonomy places the organism in Eukaryota, Viridiplantae, Streptophyta, Magnoliopsida, Caryophyllales, Amaranthaceae. The record is from RefSeq and is a predicted model, not a curated record. The transcript is spliced from 3 exons.
AACCGGCCUGAUGCCUGCCAACCCGAGCCGCCGUGGCCGACGAUUCGGUCUUUCUCUAAGGUCUUGACUGCAUCCGACACUAGCACUCAUGGUAGAUUUUCGGUUCUUCGAAAACAUGCGAAUGAAUGCCUUCCUCCAUUGAACAAUGACAAAUAUCGAUGUAGUGAAACUGAAUAUCGUACUCCUUUCAAGUGUAUCAGAAGUGGAGAUGUAACAAAGGAAGCAAGUGGUAAAGUUCCCGAAAAUAGCCAGUCUACUCAAGAAGGAUCUCAAGAAGGAUUUAUUAAUGUCAGACAAUGUUGCAGCUAAGCACAGGAGAUUACCGCUAAGGUCCAACUUGAUAAUGGCAUGGUGUUUGAGGCAGUGAUAGUGAUGGACACCCAGGGGAAGCCUCGGCUCACUAAAUUCUACGAUUUCCAGCCUCCAGACAAGCAGCAGAGGAGAUGAUUCGUACUCUCUACUUAGGUAUUACUAUCUCUCUAAAAUUUUCUCACAUUUAUAGUCAUUAUAAUUACUUCAAAAUCAAGAAAGUUGUAAUUCUGGUAAUUAUUUGAUGUAGUAUUAUGCAACAGG